RNAcentral lists this ribosomal RNA (468 nucleotides) under uncultured bacterium. RNAcentral's name for it is "partial 16S ribosomal RNA". It matches the Rfam family "Bacterial small subunit ribosomal RNA", at positions 28 to 507 of the family's 1533-position model. The record is from RNAcentral.
GACGAACGCUGGCGGCGUGCUUAACACAUGCAAGUCGAACGGAAAGGCCCUGCUUUUGUGGGGUGCUCGAGUGGCGAACGGGUGAGUAACACGUGAGUAACCUGCCCUUGACUUUGGGAUAACUUCAGGAAACUGGGGCUAAUACCGGAUAGGAGCUCCUGCUGCAUGGUGGGGGUUGGAAAGUUUCGGCGGUUGGGGAUGGACUCGCGGCUUAUCAGCUGGUUGGUGGGGUAGUGGCUUACCAAGGCUUUGACGGGUAGCCGGCCUGAGAGGGUGACCGGCCACAUUGGGCCUGAGAUACGGACCAGACUCCUACGGGAGGCAGCAGUGGGGAAUAUUGCACAAUGGGCGGAAGCCUGAUGCAGCAACGCCGCGUGCGGGAUGACGGCCUUCGGGUUGUAAACCGCUUUCGCCUGUGACGAAGCGUGAGUGACGGUAAUGGGUAAAGAAGCACCGGCUAACUACGUG